This 350-nucleotide unclassified non-coding RNA is filed under the name plant metagenome. Its description in RNAcentral is "partial contains 5.8S ribosomal RNA, internal transcribed spacer 2, and large subunit ribosomal RNA". The stretch from base 1 to 105 matches the Rfam family "5.8S ribosomal RNA", at positions 50 to 154 of the family's 154-position model. The record is from RNAcentral.
GAAAUUCGAAAAGUAAUGUGAAUUGCAGAAUUCAGUGAAUCAUCGAAUCUUUGAACGCACCUUGCGCUCCUUGGUAUUCCGAGGAGCAUGCCUGUUUGAGUGUCAUGGAAUUCUCAACUCUAUUUGCUUUUGUGAAUAGAGCUUGGAUUUGGAGGUUUAUUGCUGGUACUUGUGAUCGGCUCCUCUUGAAUGCAUUAGCUCGAACCUUUGCGGAUCAGCUAUCGGUGUGAUAAUUGUCUACGCCGUUGCAGUGAAGCAUAUCAAUGGGCUCGGCUUCCAAUCGUCCUUUACUGGACAAUGACUUUGACCUUUGACCUCAAAUCAGGUAGGAUUACCCGCUGAACUUAAGC